RNAcentral lists this unclassified non-coding RNA (32 nucleotides) under Sorangium cellulosum So ce56. RNAcentral's name for it is "sce_IRE_193". The record is from RNAcentral. Lineage: Bacteria; Pseudomonadati; Myxococcota; Polyangiales; Polyangiaceae.
CAAUCCUGUGCUUCGGAGCAAUCCUGUGCCCG